UCUGUUGCGAAUCACUUCUGUUACGAAGCUUCUUCCUCAAUUCUUUUGUGAAGCUUUUCAAGUAUUUCGAUUAUGUUAUCGAUAAGGUGAUUAUGAAGAGGGAUUAGAGUUUAUGGUGUUGAGUGUUACCAAUGGAAGGUUCAGCGUGUUGGUUCAAUGGAGGUUGAAGGUGGUUAACGGUUUUGUGAGUUUGUUACGGUUGUUGAAGGGAUUGAAGAGAGGCUUGGUUCAGUUGUUAGAGGUUGAAGAAGAUUAGGUGAUGGAGGAAGAAGAAGAAUCUGGAUCGUGAUUAUGAGUAUGGUUGAAGGUUUGUUACAGGUUGAAGAAGAAUCUGGAAAAGUUUGUUAGAAUUUUUUGGAGGUUUCUGUUGAAGGAUUGAGGGCAAAAGCGAUUUUGGAAUGAGAGGGAAAAAAUUUCUGAAACCAAUGAUUGGCAAUGAUUGCAGCUUAUAUAGCAGGAUCUAAGGGGCAAAUUGGAGAAUUAAAUCUGAAAAUGGUUCAAUCUGCACCAUCCAGCUGGCACUUAAAUGAAGGUCUGUGUUGGUAUGCUCGGAUAGCUCGCCCUGCCUCUGCAGGUUUCUCUUGGCUUUGGUUUUUCAACAGGGUAACUCUGAAGUUGCAGAGGGAUGCGUGGUUGAUAUGACUCAGCUCAAGUCGAAUGUUCCAACUCUAGCCAUUAUGCAUUUAUCUGAUAGAGUCUGAUGAAAGUGAAUCACGUUGUGUUAAUCUCCCUGAUGUCAACCGCGAAUUCCCUUCACUCUUAGCUGCUAAUUGAAAGUCUUUACAGGUUAUGCUUAAGAUAAUAAAACACGCGUAACUCAUCGAAGCGACAAACCCUUCCGGAUGACGACACUUCAUGACAGCUUAGAUGUGUAUCGCCCAAGGAAUGCUUAAUGUUGCUUGACCUUACUUAGGAGCGCGCGACACACCUUCUUCCGGCCUCGUGUUUGAACCAACGGGAAGCAAUUAGGAUUUAGGUAAAAUACACGUUUGAGACUCGG
Molecule: long non-coding RNA, 1000 nt
Organism: Lathyrus oleraceus (garden pea)
Lineage: Eukaryota; Viridiplantae; Streptophyta; Magnoliopsida; Fabales; Fabaceae
Exons: 6
Source: RefSeq, a predicted model, not a curated record